UUUUGUUAAUAAAUGUGUCACAAGUAUAUAAAAUUUAUUACAAGAAAGCACAAUAAAUCUGAUCAGUCGCGUUUAUAGAUUUGAAGAAAAUAUGUCUAAGUUUACAGUUAUUUUGGCUCUCGUAGCGUUGAUCGCUAUUGUGUCAGCGCGUCCACAAGUGGACGUUGUUGACCAAGACCCAGGCUCAGUUAAUGUCAUCGGUGGAGAUGAACAAGUAAACAUUGUCGACAAUGACGAUCAAGUUGUCGUGGUUGAAUCCUCUGACCCCGUUUACGAACCGCGGAGGUGAAGUGCAUUUUAAUCUUAAAUAAAUUUGUUUUUAUGUAAUUUAUGUAAUAUCAAUAUAUUUUAAUUAUAUGUAUCAUGUUA
Papilio polytes (common Mormon) is the source of this 369-nucleotide long non-coding RNA. RefSeq lists it as uncharacterized. NCBI's taxonomy places the organism in Eukaryota, Metazoa, Arthropoda, Insecta, Lepidoptera, Papilionidae. The record is from RefSeq and is a predicted model, not a curated record. The transcript is spliced from 7 exons.